This 329-nucleotide ribosomal RNA is filed under the name uncultured eukaryote. RNAcentral describes it as "partial 18S ribosomal RNA". It matches the Rfam family "Eukaryotic small subunit ribosomal RNA", at positions 1470 to 1796 of the family's 1831-position model. The record is from RNAcentral.
CCCUUAGAUGUUCUGGGCCGCACGCGUGCUACACUGAUGCAUUCAACGAGUCUAAAACCUGGUCUGAUAGGGCUGGGUAAUCUUUUGAAAGUGCAUCGUGAUUGGGAUAGAUGAUUGCAAUUCUUCAUCUUCAACGAGGAAUGCCUAGUAAACGCAAGUCAUCAGCUUGCAUUGAUUACGUCCCUGCCCUUUGUACACACCGCCCGUCGCACCAAUUGAUUGGAUGACUCGAUGAAAAAUCAGGACUGAGAUUUCUUUUGCUUCAUUGCAGAGGAAGUUUUGGGAAUCUUUUUAAAUCUCGUUAUCUAGAGAUUGGUGAAGUCGUAACA